Molecule: transfer RNA, 77 nt
Filed under: Burkholderia multivorans
Lineage: Bacteria; Pseudomonadati; Pseudomonadota; Betaproteobacteria; Burkholderiales; Burkholderiaceae
Description: tRNA-Lys
Rfam family: tRNA
About the family: Transfer RNA (tRNA) molecules are approximately 80 nucleotides in length. Their secondary structure includes four short double-helical elements and three loops (D, anti-codon, and T loops). Further hydrogen bonds mediate the characteristic L-shaped molecular structure. tRNAs have two regions of fundamental functional importance: the anti-codon, which is responsible for specific mRNA codon recognition, and the 3' end, to which the tRNAs corresponding amino acid is attached (by aminoacyl-tRNA synthetases). tRNAs cope with the degeneracy of the genetic code in two manners: having more than one tRNA (with a specific anti-codon) for a particular amino acid; and 'wobble' base-pairing, i.e. permitting non-standard base-pairing at the 3rd anti-codon position.
Source: RNAcentral
GGGGGUGUAACUCAGCUGGCCAGAGUAGCGGACUCUUAAUCCGAAAGUCCUGGGUUCGAAUCCCAGCACCCCCACCA